Molecule: ribosomal RNA, 450 nt
Filed under: uncultured bacterium
Lineage: Bacteria
Description: partial 16S ribosomal RNA
Rfam family: Bacterial small subunit ribosomal RNA
Source: RNAcentral
GUGGGGAAUAUUGGACAAUGGGCGAAAGCCUGAUCCAGCCAUGCCGCGUGUGUGAAGAAGGUCUUCGGAUUGUAAAGCACUUUAAGUUGGGAGGAAGGGCAGUAAGUUAAUACCUUGCUGUUUUGACGUUACCGACAGAAUAAGCACCGGCUAACUUCGUGCCAGCAGCCGCGGUAAUACGAAGGGUGCAAGCGUUAAUCGGAAUUACUGGGCGUAAAGCGCGCGUAGGUGGUUUUGUAAGUUGGAGGUGAAAUCCCCGGGCUCAACCGGGGAACUGCCUCCAAAACUGCAUGACUAGAGUACGGUAGAGGGUAGUGGAAUUUCCUUUGUAGCGGUGAAAUGCGUAGAUAUAGGAAGGAACACCAGUGGCGAAGGCGACUACCUGGACUGAUACUGACACUGAGGUGCGAAAGCGUGGGGAGCAAACAGGAUUAGAAACCCUAGUAGUCC